UAUGCACUAAACCAUAUAGG
Molecule: transfer RNA, 20 nt
Filed under: Hemiculter leucisculus (sharpbelly)
Lineage: Eukaryota; Metazoa; Chordata; Actinopteri; Cypriniformes; Xenocyprididae
Description: partial tRNA-Pro
Source: RNAcentral